CAGAACAGGAAGGCAGCAGCAGUGAAGGCA
RNAcentral lists this non-coding RNA (30 nucleotides) under uncultured Chlamydomonas. The record is from RNAcentral. Lineage: Eukaryota; Viridiplantae; Chlorophyta; Chlorophyceae; Chlamydomonadales; Chlamydomonadaceae.